GCCGAGGUGGCGGAAUUGGCAGACGCGCAUGGUUGAGGGCCAUGUGGACACAAACGUCCGUGUGGGUUCAAGUCCCGCCCUCGGCA
RNAcentral lists this transfer RNA (86 nucleotides) under Candidatus Acetothermia bacterium. RNAcentral's name for it is "tRNA-Leu". It matches the Rfam family "tRNA". From Rfam's summary of the family: Transfer RNA (tRNA) molecules are approximately 80 nucleotides in length. Lineage: Bacteria; Candidatus Bipolaricaulota. RNAcentral also lists the same sequence under 1 other name. The record is from RNAcentral.